RNAcentral lists this ribosomal RNA (766 nucleotides) under uncultured fungus. RNAcentral's name for it is "SSU rRNA". It matches the Rfam family "Eukaryotic small subunit ribosomal RNA", at positions 804 to 1590 of the family's 1831-position model. The record is from RNAcentral. Lineage: Eukaryota; Fungi.
UUAGCAUGGAAUAAUAAAAUAGGACGUGCGUUUCUAUUUUGUUGGUUUCUAGAGACGCCGCAAUGAUUAACAGGAACAGUCGGGGGCAUCAGUAUUCAGUUGUCAGAGGUGAAAUUCUUGGAUUUACUGAAGACUAACUACUGCGAAAGCAUUUGCCAAGGAUGUUUUCAUUAAUCAGUGAACGAAAGUUAGGGGAUCGAAGACGAUCAGAUACCGUCGUAGUCUUAACCGUAAACUAUGCCGACUAGGGAUCGGGCGAUGUUCUUUUUCUGACUCGCUCGGCACCUUACGAGAAAUCAAAGUUUUUGGGUUCUGGGGGGAUUAUGGUCGCAAGGCUGAAACUUAAAGAAAUUGACGGAAGGUCACCACCAGGCGUGGAGCCUGCGGCUUAAUUUGACCCAACACGGGGAAACUCACCAGGUCCAGAUGAAAUAAGGAUUGACAGAUUGAGAGCUCUUUCUUGAUUUUUCAGGUGGUGGUGCAUGGCCGUUCUUAGUUCGUGGGGUGACUUGUCUGCUUAAUUGCGAUAACGAGCGAGACCUUACUCUGCUAAAUAGCCAGGCUAGCUUUGGCUGGUCGCCGGCUUCUUAGAGAGACUAUCAACUCAAGUUGAUGGAAGUUUGAGGCAAUAACAGGUCUGUGAUGCCCUUAGAUGUUCUGGGCCGCACGCGCGCUACACUGACAGAGCCAACGAGUUCUUCACCUUGGCCGAAAGGUCUGGGUAAUCUUGUUAAACUCUGUCGUGCUGGGGAUAGAGCAUUGCAAU